GUAUUCACUAACACACAUAACCACGACAUUUACUAUGGGUUUACCAUAGUAACCAUAGUUUUACUCUGGUAUUUGUAGUUACUAACACACAAUAACCACGACAUUUACUAUGGGUUUACCAUAGUAACCAUGGUUUUACUCUGGUAUUUGUAGUUACUAACACACAGUAACCACGACAUUUACUAUGGGUUUACCAUAGUAACCAUAGUUUUACUCUGGUAUUUGUAUUUACUAACACACAAUAACCACGACAUUUACUAUGGGUUUACCAUAGUAACCAUAGUUUUACUCUGGUAUUUGUAGUUACUAACACACAAUAACCACGACAUUUACUAUGGGUUUACCAUAGUAACCAUAGUUUUACUCUGGUAUUUGUAGUUACUAACACACAAUAACCACAACACUUACCAGGAUUUUACCACAGUAACUGUGUUUUUACUCUACACUAUUUGUAAAGCACAGUAACCACUAAGUUUGCCAUGCCUUUAAUAUCUUUUUGUGAUGUAAUUGUAAUUCAGUGUUUUUUCUGUCUUGCAGUUACGUCGGAUUACAUACUCCACAACAACCUGUAAUCCAGCAGAUCUUUAAAGAAGCCAUCUCUUGUAAAAUCUCUCUCUCUCUCUCUCUCUCUCUCUCUCUCUCUCUCUCUCUCUCUCUCUCUCUCUCUCUCUCUCUCUCUCUCUCUCUCUCUCUCUCUCUCGCUCUGCUAGAAUUAACAGGGAACUUCAACUCCACGCUCCCAAUGCUGAUAUUGAAGAAGCUGUCAAGGGGGCUGAACAAGUCCUUCAAAGGAUCAACCCUUCACAGGAAGGCCUGUCAUGUGAUUUGAAUUUGACCAUCUUGUGCAUUUAUGAAGAAGACCAAAAGCUGCAAAGGCAAACACUUCCAAUGACGCUGAAUCUGAUGUGUACAGAUGAACUCAGGAGCCUACUAGAGUUGCCAAGGAACUUGUGCUUGAACUGAAGACCAGAAACGCAAAGAAAAUCAGUCAAACCAGUCCUAAAGAAAUGAGGAAUGAACAUGGACUUCUUGUGCCCCAAAAGAAAAGACAGAAAGCUCCUAAAAUGAGCAGAUAAGCUGUGCAUCAUCUCUGUGAUUUGGGAAGGAAAUGACUGAAUAUGAUGAAGCCAGAUGAUGAAGAUAUCGAUUGAAUGGCCACCGAGUGCAUCACUGCUACCUGAACCCAUCAGUUAUCUGCUGUGAAGACUGCAUUCACAAACCGCUCUACUGCGACAGCUCAGAUGUUACGGCCUGUAAAAGUAAACAUCACAGCUAAACAACGAGAGCUAGUUGUGGUGGGAUUCUUUUGGCCAAUAUCCCCAACAAGAAUCAAUGACAUCUAGACCAGGUGGAGUGUGAGGAGGACCGUCAGAGACUCCAGCCAGCCGAGCCAUGGAUUGCUCUCACUGUUACCAUCAGGCAGACGUUAUCAUAGAAUCUACACCAGCAGACAGUGAGACAAGUUCCUUUCACAGGCAAUCAGACUGAACUGAACUCAUACCAGUAAAACCAUACACACCCCACCAACCUCAUAUGCCCUGCACUCUUAUCAGUUAUGCUGACUGGACUCAAUAUUAUUAUGCACCUUGACAUUCUGUUUGCACUAAUUCAUACCGUGCUUUACUGCAGAGAUGUAUGUGUACUGUGAUUAUUAUUGUUUUCAAUUCAUGCUCUUUGUAUAGCAUAAUUUUUAACAUAUAUUGUUCUCUACCUGAAUUGAGUCCCUUAUAUAUGUGUGUUGCAUAUAUAUAUAUAUAUAUAUAUAUAUAUAUAUAUAUAUAUAUAUAUAUAUAUAUAUAUAUAUAUAUAUAUAUAUUCAGAAUUUGUAUUUCAUAUAUAUUCAUGAAUUAAUUCAUUUGUCAUCCAUACUGUCACGCUGCAGUCUGCACCCAAGACUUUCAUCACCUGUAUACUUGUGUUCAUUGUAUUGUGACAAUAAAGAUAUUUGAUUUAAAUUA
Long non-coding RNA from Carassius gibelio (silver crucian carp), 1958 nucleotides. RefSeq lists it as uncharacterized. The record is from RefSeq and is a predicted model, not a curated record. The transcript has 7 exons. Lineage: Eukaryota; Metazoa; Chordata; Actinopteri; Cypriniformes; Cyprinidae.